Long non-coding RNA from Polistes canadensis, 1027 nucleotides. RefSeq lists it as uncharacterized. NCBI's taxonomy places the organism in Eukaryota, Metazoa, Arthropoda, Insecta, Hymenoptera, Vespidae. The record is from RefSeq and is a predicted model, not a curated record. The transcript has 2 exons.
GAUGCGCUGUCAUCCCCACCACGCUCCGACUAGCGGUAAGCGAAGUACGAUGCGCGGGGACGCUAUACGCAGUCUGUCUCGAGUCAGGGAGGGGAGCGUAUCGCGUGCAGGAUACUUUCGUUUCGUGUCAACAUUUUUUUCAAUAACUUUUUAGGAAACGGUAACGGUAACAUUGUAUACAAUAACACUAAAAGGAGAGGAAGAAUAGAGAUACACGUGCUGGGUCUCGAUGCCAUACGUCAAUGUAUGGGCGACGAUAUGUGAAAGCAGUCAAGUUUCGAGAUUAUUUAGAGAAUGAUUUUCUUUUUAUUCCUAAUAAAUGAUUUAUUACAAAUCUUUACAACAUAGUAUACAUAACAUAAUAAUAUAUACGAAUAAUCAUAUUUUUAUGAAUUGUUUUUUUCGCUCUCGGUUUUUGGAGUAACGCUUUCUAAAGUUGUAUUGCUAUUGUUUCCUAUUAAACUUUGUAGAAUGGCCUUCUUCUUUUCCUGUAUUGCUGUAAGAAGUUUAGUUCUUCGGAAUAUAUCGUUAAAUAUUCCAAUAGCCAUUUGAAAAUUUCGACAAUCUCUUGGCUCAUAUGCGACCGACCAAACACCCUGGAUCGUAUCGAUUCCUUGGCAUACUUUGCAAGAACCUACAGUUAGUUAACCUUUAAUAAAAUUAAUAUUAAGAAAUUAUUUGUUAGAAAGAGAUUUCAAUACGAUUACUUGCCAACAAAAAUAGCCAAAGUUUUGGUACGAUUGUCAUAAGCGAGUAAAGAAAAAGGUCCACCACGUCUGAAUGGCGCAUGUCCUGUUACGUUCCAUGUCGUGUUUAAAAGUCCUACAUGUAUAGGUUGAGGUAUAAGAUUUGCCAAAGUUACUAUUAUACUUUGAUUGAAAACUUUCAUAUCUAAUCUCACUCCAGCCUUGUUUGUCACCCAUGAUCCUGUAAGUUUGCAGGGUAAUCCUAAAAACAACGUUUAUAUAUUUAUAUAUUGUUAAUUUAAUGUGAAAUUUAUUUUUAAUAUAAUAAUAUACCUUCGUUA